RNAcentral lists this ribosomal RNA (518 nucleotides) under Simulium nobile. Its description in RNAcentral is "partial 16S ribosomal RNA". It matches the Rfam family "Bacterial large subunit ribosomal RNA", at positions 1819 to 2601 of the family's 2925-position model. Lineage: Eukaryota; Metazoa; Arthropoda; Insecta; Diptera; Simuliidae. The record is from RNAcentral.
GUCUUUUUGGUUAUUUAAUAUAAAGUCUGACCUGCCCACUGAAUAUAGUUUUAAAGGGCCGCAGUAUUUUGACUGUGCAAAGGUAGCAUAAUCAUUAGUCUUUUAAUUGAAGGCUGGUAUGAAUGGUUGGAUGAGGUACAAGCUGUGUCAUAAAAAUUAAUAUUUGAAUUUACCUUUUUAGUCAAAAGGCUAAAAUUUUAUUAAAAGACGAGAAGACCCUAUAGAGCUUUAUAUAAUUAAUAUUUAGAUUAUUAAUAUUUUUUAAAUUUAAUUAUUUUAUUAUAUUUUGUUGGGGUGACAAUAAAAUUUAUAAAACUUUUAUUAUUAUUAUUCAUUAAUUUAUGUUUAAAUGAUCCAAUUUUAUUGAUUAUAAAUUUAAGUUACCUUAGGGAUAACAGCGUAAUUUUUUUUGAGAGUUCUUAUCGACAAAAAAGAUUGCGACCUCGAUGUUGGAUUAAGAGUAAUUUUGGGUGUAGAAGUUCAAAAUUUAAGUCUGUUCGACUUUUAAAUUCUUACAU